Physeter macrocephalus (sperm whale) is the source of this 3147-nucleotide long non-coding RNA. RefSeq lists it as uncharacterized. The transcript has 3 exons. The record is from RefSeq and is a predicted model, not a curated record. Lineage: Eukaryota; Metazoa; Chordata; Mammalia; Artiodactyla; Physeteridae.
AAAAGAAGCUUUAUUGAAAAUAUUAACCAAAAAGUAGCUACAUUAAUAGACUAUAAGGCAAAAAACAUGACUUCAGAAUAUGUGUCUUGUGGAAUACAACCAUCCAUUUCUAAUUGCCUUUUAUGCUAACUGGCUAUUACGGGUAAUGAUAUAUAAAUUAAUCUCCAUGAGUCAUUUUGUUAGACAAAGAACUUUGAUAUUUUCUUCUUCACCCUCCAACUAUAAAGGCAUAAUAAACUAACAGAUCUUUAAAGAUACCUUAUCUUUAAAAUUUGUGUAUGUCAUUACAGUCAUGUUAUAAUUUAGGAUGAUUCCCAUGCCACAGCCUGCCCUCAGAAUUUCUUCCCUAGGCAAAUCUUAGGUUAUUAACUGUCCAGGGUCAGGGGAGACUGUAGGGAAAAACCCAGGAUGACACUGCCUCUGGCAUGCAGGUGGAUGGAUGGUACUGCCAAACUCCUUGCCUGCUCUUGUCCAGCUUUCUGCUGCUCUUUCGUCUCUGCCUCCCAUAGUAAAUCAAAUGCUCAUUUAUGUGGCUUCUCUGACGCCAACUGCUUCACUUAUCACUGGGCCAAUAGCAGGAGGUAUUUGGACCAGAAUAGUUUUCCACCACCCCACUGAACUUCAAACAUUAUCCCUUCCUCCCUCUUAAUUUUGUCUCUUCAGAACACCAAAACUGGUGAGGACAAUUUCCCCAUCUUUAUUGUUUGGCUAUCCCCUAAAUUCCUGUGUUUCCUAUGCAUGUACCUAAGAAGCAGAGGUCUUACACUCUCUUGCACUCUCAGCCUUCUGGAGCUGGCAGAUUUGGACAGAGUAGAGAUAAGGUGGACAUGUUCUCUGCUUCAGCAGGUGAACUGUCCACAUUAUCACUUGAUGUAGUCUCAUCUGUGAGGAGUGGCCAUGUGGUCCGUCAGUUAGGGAGUUAUGCUGUUAAUUGAAUGGUUGGCAGUUAAAGCUGAUUGGCUUUUGACUGCCUUUAGCACUUUCUAGAGCUACACUUCAGUUUCUCUCUCAUUCUAAACAGCUUUUGUUCUGUAUUUGCCAUGCCCACCUAAGUCAGAAGUUCUGAAUAUUCCUCUGUUAAGUUGACUGUAAUUGCCUGAUAGGCUGUUAGGAGAGGUAAAUAAUUAGAAUUCAAAAUGAACAAUUGACUUCUCAGAUACUAGGUUCCAAAAGUUAACUUAAUGUACGAUUUUGACCAUUUGUGAUAUUGUGGUGACCUGUACAGUGACCUGUUGAGAGAAGUGUCUUUAUUGGCCAAAUUCCUCAUCUUUCUGGUCCAGUGUAACAUACAGAAGGUUCAAGAAAAGUUUAUGGGAUGGCAACCUAAAGGAGAGGGUGAGACUUCCUCUAUGUUCCUCAAAUCUCUUGGGGUACAUUUACAUGCAUCAUGACAAGAGAAAAUCAGAAUAAUAUAGGCAUGACAAGGGAGGGAAAUCUUCUGAUCUUUUUCCAAAGCUAACUUCCAAAGAUAGAAACACAGUAAAGUUAUUCCUCAUAUUCUAGGACACUCAUUUGUUAGUAGGUGAUGUCAUGGUGUCAGAGGUUAUACACAUGAGUGUAGCAAGGAUUUUAGCUCCAAAUGUUACAUGUCCCAGCAACACACUGGAACUUACUUCCUGCCUUGGAAGAUGCACCCCAGAGGAACAGUUGUGUAACUCAUGCCAGGCACUAAUCUUUCCAUGAUCAUAGCCCUAUCCCAGUCCCAAGGCUGUCACGUUACUGUUUAGAAACGGUCUUCAAUAAUUUUUGUUCCCAAAACACUGUCCAUUUUAUUCUUUCCCUCCCUUACCUCAGCUGACUGUGUUGCCCCUGCCUGUUGGAUCUUUGUAUAGAUGAGACUUGCCUUUGCAAUAAAGACUUAAUAGAGGUAGUAAUGAAGCCACUAUGGUGCAGAAAGAAGAAAAACAGUUGUACAUUUUGGCCUGCACUCAAACUUGGGUCACUCAGGUGGGAGAUAAAAUGCUUGCUAUUGAAGCACCAGUAUUCUUAGUUUAAGGUGUUCUUCACAGAUCAUUACACAUCCAAUAAUUCAUGAGAUUGAUUCUCCCACAACCGCCAGCAGGUCCUAGGACUUCAUCUACCAGGAUUCUUCAAAGAAAUGGAGCCACCUGUCCACACCCUGGACUCAAUGACUGCACAGAUUCCAGCACAUUAAGCAGCCAUCCCACUGUUUCUGGAGCUUGGUCUGGGAUGGAAGAGAACUGGAGCACCUCCCAGUCUCCAGGGCCCUAAUGACCGAGGGAGGGAGAACUACUGUUGCUUGGCUACUGUCUUGGUUGACAUGGAUUUAGGUACAGAUAAUAAGAAGCCUCCCACUGUUCCAACUGACCUCACAGACUGGUCACACACCUCCUUGCACUUCCUGAACUUUCUGUCAAGGGGGUAAAAUGGUCUCUUGGCUGCUGCUGUAACCCAUCACGUACCAGUGUUAAACUCCUUGGUCUGUGUUCCUGCAAAAGAGAGCGUGAAUUCAACUGACAGAGUUUGGGUACAACUUGCAUCAAAGAGAAAAACCAAGUUAAAGCUCUGAGUGAGGCCUCUGAGUCAAUUCAACGCAUAGCUGUGAAAAUGUGUAAUUGAAAUUAAUGAGUUACAUGCUUAUACUAUGAAUGCUCUUAAAGUGUUAGAGGAGAUUCUUCUGUUCAGGGUACUGUCAUGUGUAAAAAAAAGUGCUAAUGGGGUAAACUCCCCUGGGGUUUGCCACCAGUGGAUGCGUCAAAGUUUAGCAUGAGUGCCUGUACCCUCUAAUGUCCAAAGUUUCACCGUGUAGAUAAUACCCUCUUGGUUGACAAGUCAAAAAUUUUAUUAUCAACAGCUCUGACUGCAGUGUUAUCAGACUGCUACUAGCAAGAGUGACUGAUAAACCCCAAUAAGCAAGUAGCUUGCUUGUCAAGUAAAGUUACUUGGAACUAGGUGGAUCAAUCCCUCUGGCAGCCAAAAGAAAAAAACAAAAACAAAAAAAACCAAAACUGCUUUCUCUCACAAAGUAACGAACUCUGUAUUUCUGAUAUGGAAGCCACCACUGCAUGCUAGCCUUACAACUUCUGCCAAAGUUUGACCUGUUUGUUUUACAGUAAAAAUUGUUGUUCCAUGGUCUUCUGGCCUCCAUGCUUUUUUUUUUUUUUUUUUUUUUUUGCGGUACACGGG